Molecule: long non-coding RNA, 810 nt
Organism: Homo sapiens (human)
Lineage: Eukaryota; Metazoa; Chordata; Mammalia; Primates; Hominidae
Exons: 3
Source: RefSeq, a predicted model, not a curated record
UGAAUAUUUUUUUAAAAAGGAUUAAUGUGUGCAGUUUAAAAGGGUAAAUUUUGUGGUACACAGAUUAUUUCUUACCAAGAGGAAGAAGAGGAGGAAGAGGAGAAAGAGAAAAGGAAGGAGGAAGGAGAUGGGGAGAGGGAGGACAGCAACCACCAGAACAAAACAUUCUAAAAUGUUUUGGGUGAUGCAAGUGUAGAAAUUAAAGCACAAAGGGAUUGACUAAAUUGCCCAGUGUCCCCAGACUGUCUGUUGGAGCCUGGAUCCGCACCCAGGUGUUCUUGAAUGCAUGUUUCUGAUAGCUCUGGAGACUGUGACAUCAAAAUAGAGAAAAAACUUCGAGGACUCAUGGAGAGCUGAAAUGUUCAUGAAUAUCAAGCAGAACAAGAAUUAACUGCAUGGACUAAACUAAUAGAAGUUUGAAGUAAUCUUUUUUAACUUUUUGCUUAAAAUGUUGCUGAUAAUUUGUUUUUCAAAAUCAAGAAACUUUUAAGCUAUUUACAGCUUUUUAACAAUGGAGUAUACUCCUUUGAACAAAAUUUGGAGCAUAUUUGUUUUUAAAACUACCUGAUUUCUACAGAAUUUGGAAUCUAUUUGUGAGUAUUCUUUACUUAUGACAAUACAGUUAUUUGCAUAAGUGCAAUAAGAAUCUGUUUUCAUUUGUAACAGCACACAUUUGAAGAAACUGGUUAUUUUACCAAGGCUUUGACUGAAAUAGUGUGCUUUCCUUUAAAGAAUUAAACUUGACUUAUGGAGCCAAUAAAAAGUCCCUUGGAAAAACUAGCCUCAUACCUUUGUCUCCACAGUCCCUGU